CAUUGGCUGUGUCCGAAUUCAGGGGAAGGAUGCUCAUAAGGACACUACCUACCUACGUCACAAGGUAGUGUCCUUAGACGGACGGGUAGUCAGGAAGUGAGCGGCUUGGACAGCCCCCUUUUUUUCUCCAUAGAAACUUUAUUGAACAAACAAUGAGUAUCCAACAUAACAGAUGGGCUGUGGACAGCCUCCUAGCCUUCAACUCCGCCCUUGUUUGUUUUUCCCGAUCGCUAGCGCCACAGCGCGAAAACUUUAAAAUGGACCCAGAAAUGUCGCUCCGUUGUUUGGACAAUUUUAUUUCUCGAGGAGCUAGAAAAACCUUAUCAUCGUCGCCCGCACGUUUUGUACCUUAGGCUCAUCAGAGACAAUCAUAUCCAGUGGUGUGGCAGCCACGAGUGAGCCAGCCCUGCAAACCCUGUUGAUGGACGAUGCAGUGGACAGUGGGAGGAAGCAUCCUGAAGCUCUUUGCAGACCACCCUGUGUGAUUCUCCACUCGCCCACCAAAAGACAAACCACAGGUCUCAGUUGCAGCAGCUCAUCCACGUCUGAUCUUGCUCGGGCAGAUUCAGCAACACUGCCAGAGACUUCCUGUAAUCUAUUACAGUUGUUCAAGAAACGGUCCAGGAACAGGUCACUCAGGUUAAUCCUGUGUGAACAACUGAAAAUAUUGUUGUUUCAUCUUUACAUACUGUGUAUUUGAAAUAUUCUUGUUUAAUUGUUAUUGUUAUUUACUUUAUUGCUAUCAAAUAAAUAUCCAAGUAAUAUUGUUCAAAGUUAGCGUUAUGUUCAUACGUGUUACAAAUG
Long non-coding RNA from Oreochromis aureus, 804 nucleotides. The record is from Ensembl. NCBI's taxonomy places the organism in Eukaryota, Metazoa, Chordata, Actinopteri, Cichliformes, Cichlidae.